UACGGGGGGGGCAAGCGUUGUUCGGAAUUACUGGGCGUAAAGGGCUCGUAGGUGGCCAACUAAGUCAUACGUGAAAUCCCUCGGCUUAACCGGGGAACUGCGUCUGAUACUGGAUGGCUUGAAUCCGGGAGAGGGAUGCGGAAUUCCAGGUGUAGCGGUGAAAUGCGUAGAUAUCUGGAGGAACACCGGUGGCGAAGGCGGCAUCCUGGACCGGCAUUGACGCUGAGGAGCGAAAGCCAGGGGAGCAAACGGG
This 253-nucleotide ribosomal RNA is filed under the name uncultured bacterium. RNAcentral's name for it is "partial 16S ribosomal RNA". It matches the Rfam family "Bacterial small subunit ribosomal RNA", at positions 524 to 776 of the family's 1533-position model. The record is from RNAcentral.